This is a long non-coding RNA of Zingiber officinale, 1637 nucleotides long. RefSeq lists it as uncharacterized. NCBI's taxonomy places the organism in Eukaryota, Viridiplantae, Streptophyta, Magnoliopsida, Zingiberales, Zingiberaceae. The transcript is spliced from 5 exons. The record is from RefSeq and is a predicted model, not a curated record.
UUAGGUUUUAAGAGCCAGAGUUAUUGAUGUCCUUGUAACUCAAUCUUCUUGACUGGAUAAAUUGAGCUUGAUAGCAACAGGUAAAAGGGCAAGGCAUGGAACUAACCUGUUCACCGGAGUACCUCUCUGAAGAUACAGAACCCGAGCUCUCGGUCUCACAGCCGCCCUCCUUUUCCGAUGACUUCCGUCUCCAGAUCCAACUGCGGCGGUCCAUCUCGCAACCUCAACCUUCCAAUUUGCUUCGCUGAUCACCGCCACCAAGCUCCCAAGUGGUUAGCCGCCCCUUCAGAUAAAACAAAAGGAACUGAAUGCUUCUCUACCUGAUCGAUCGACGAGAAGAUGGUUGAAGAGAAGAGGCAGAUCGAAUCGAAGCCGAUCAUCUGCAUCAAACGCGUCGGAUUUCCUCUCUCCAGGAAAAGAGCGAUUCCCGCCCAAGAACGAGGAGAACACAAGCAAGAGAAGCAAAGGGGUAUGUGAGGGUCCUACAACUCCAUGAAAGGUCAUUUCCUCCAUUAUCUUUGAUGUGUAGUGGAUGUGUAAGCCACAAAGAGCACAAACAUGCAAUGAAUUGAGUGCCCUAAGACAUGAAGGUCAUUCAAAUGAAAUUCAAACCCUAAAUUAUUUCACAAUUUAUGCUACAGCUAAGUACUUCACAGCAACAGAACACUGACUGGUCGCGAACAAUCAUUGCUUCAUGCACUGAACAACUAUCGACAGAUGCGAAAAUCCAUCAAGUUGAUUCAGAUGUGUAAGCCACAAAGAGCUAAACAUGUGAUGAGUUGAGUGCCCUAAGGCAUGAAGGCCAUUCAAAUGAAAUUCAAACCCUAAAUUAUAUCACAAUUUAUGCUACAGCUAAGCACUUCACAGCUACAAAAACACUGACCGGUCGCGAGCAAUUGUUUCAGGCACUGAACAGGAAGUGAAAAUCCAACAAGUUGAUUCAGAUUGCUGAACAGAACAGCAAGCAAAGUUAGGAUACGAUAUCAACUGAGACAUUUGAUACUGAUCAGCUCAUAUUACUUAAUCACAUGACGAGAAAAGUAUAUUGACUACCGGUAUAUUGAGCAUCAAUAGCCUAAAGUUGUCGACCCUUCAGCAUACUGCUUUUCAUAUCAACUCCAUGAAUUCCAACAAGGUGAGCCUUCUAUCAACUGGGCAUGCCAUGAAGAUCUUCACUCUGUCCCUGUUUUGUACUAAGUAGCAAACAUUUGAAGUAUCUUCAUUUCAGGGACACCAAUCUUUGUGAACUCAUCAAAGAACUUCACUAACUUGUUUUCUUUUUCAGAAAUACCGUUUGAUCUUUGCCAAACAUACUUGAUGUCUCAUUAACUGGCGUUUCUUCAGACAGCUUCGACAACAUGUUCAAACUCAUUGGAACUCGAUGGCUUCAUAUUUCUGCAACAUAUAAGUAAUAAAUAUACAGGCUUGUUUCACUUUUUUGGCUGGGCAAACAAAGAGGAAGACAAAGAACAAACUGAAAAGUGCAACAAAAAAGCACAAGUAGAUCAACCACUGGUUACAGCAAAGUUAAACAAUUUUUGACAGUAUACAGGUGAAAUCAAAGAUGACAAAUCAUGGUGAAACGAAGCAUAAAAUAGGUGAGCAAAUUUGGAUUCUAUCUAAUUACUUACCUGAGU